GGAAACCAGCCUAAUUUCAUGAUUUGUCAUGGGUGGUCCCAGGGUAAACAUUGUAAAGGCAUUUGGAGGGCAGCUUGUAGAGUGCAAUGAGUUGGAAAUUUAUCCUGUAAAUCCCUGGAGGUUUUUGUCUGGUGAGGCAUCUGAGGCAGUUAGCUGGAGUUACGUGCCCCGCGCAAGGUCAUUCAAUGACGGUGUGACCAAAGAGGGAUUAGGAUUCACGGUCACAGUGCCUAGAAUUCCUGUGCGUGACUAGACUUUGCUACGUGAUGUUACUUGGGAGGCAACAGUAACUAUUGUGGUAACAAUAUCUCCAGAGAACAAGGGGAGAGGACAAUGGUAGAGUCGGACUCAUCACCUCAUAGAAUGGUACAACUGAAAGCAAUCUCCAGGACUGUCUGGUCCAACACUGUCAUUGUACAGAGAAGGAAAUUGACAUCCGUAGAGAUAUAGCCAAGGUCACAUGGCCAACGAGUGGCAGAACAGAGAUGAAGACUUCUGACUUAUGAUGUUUGCCUUCCUGCUUUUUCCUUUUAUUAGUUCUGCUGAAUGUAUUACAUUCUUCCUAGAAUUUUAUGACAUAAGAACUGCAGACAUUUGGCAACGUUGUAAAGUAGACUGCAUUCUCUUCUUAGACCCAUGGCUUAAAUUUCAUUUAUUCUACUGUCUAUAUUUAUCAGAACUUCCUGUAUUUCUUUCAAAUUCCUAUCAGAUAUGCUAGGUCAGUGCUUAAUUUCAUGGCUGGCUUAUUAAGCCAUCUUUGUGAAGUAUGUCUAUACUGUAAAGAGACUGAUGCUUUUGUGGCUCUUAGAAACCAAUGUUAUUACUUUAUAUUGAAAUAGUACAUAUGAAAAUUGGGGAACUAUUCCUCAUGACUGAACUAUCACUAUAGAAUAUCAAUUACAUGAUAAGAAUUGAUCUUGGCACAGCACACGUGAUGUAUCAUUUUUAUCUUUAUAAAAAAAACUGAGGAAGUCCAUGCUACAAUGGCAGUUUUAUAGAUGACAGUGGAAAUCAAGGUCACACAGCUAAAAGUUGUAUAGAAUUAGAGGUCGCUAGAAUUAGAAUCCCGGUCCAUUUGAAUCUAGAACCCUUAAUGGAUUCUAGAGAAUUCAAGAGAGAAUGAGAAUUCGGACAGGUUUAGAGAUCCACAGAAAUACUUUGGAGCCUAAGGCACAGACCACAGAGGACAAUGUGGGGAGUGGAGUCAUUUGGUUCACCUGCAAAAGUAGUGAGAUCCCUGAAUUCUAGGAAAAGCAAUCACCAGAAAUCAGGAGCUGUCAUCAUGAUCAGUGGUGUUAUUCCAGUGGCUCGACAUUGAGGAAUCAGGAGUGCGGGGCUCUACUUUUUCACUUCCUGUACAGAUCUCCAUUCCUACUUUUUUCGGUUCAACAGUAUCACACAAUUUACAAUCUACUUACAGCCUGCACAGAGAAAAGAAAAAGAAAGGCAACGACCAAGAAAAGAAUUUCUGCAGCCCACUGUACCUUUUGAUAGUACUACAGGCAACCAGCAAAUUCCUAUCAGCUCUGCAGUUGCCUAUUGUCAGCUUAGAAUCUUUAGUUUGCCAUUUUAGAAAGCAGUCUACGUUGUAGCUGUGGAUUUUCUGACACAAAUGAUAUAAAAUGAGACAAAGGCAAACACCACUCACUUCCCACCCACAGGAGAGAAUUUGUGUUGUGAAUUAUUUACUGUAUCUGAUUUUCUUUCACUGCAGAUACUUUCAUAGCAGGUGUACGAGAUUUCAAAGGCUGAAUCAAAUCUCACUGUGUUUCACAGCUACUUCUACUUAUUAACUCAUACAUGUAUUCCUAAGCCUCGAGCAUAUUAUAGAAUUAUGGUUCACGCUUAUCCACACUUGUUGCCAAAUUAACUGGAAACCCAGACUUUGGGCCUGUUUUAUUACCCCAGACUCCUAGCUGGUCUCCGAGAUGGUAUUCCCUUUGCAAUUUAUCUUGCACGUAUUAUGGAUGACUUGCUGAUGCGGGUCAAUGGGUUUUAGAUACAGUAUAACAAAUCUUGAGACCAGAGUGUUGAAAGGAUUGCAUUUACUCUCAAUUACUGCACAUGAAAUACUGUACAUAAUGAAAACGUUUUCAUUCUUUCCAGCAA
Felis catus (domestic cat) is the source of this 2109-nucleotide long non-coding RNA. RefSeq lists it as uncharacterized. The record is from RefSeq and is a predicted model, not a curated record. Lineage: Eukaryota; Metazoa; Chordata; Mammalia; Carnivora; Felidae. The transcript has 3 exons.